AUGCUGGCUCUGGCUCCUUACGAGGUGCCGGCGAAGAAGAUCAAGAAGAAGGCCACGGGGACCCGAAAGGGUCUCCGACGCAAGGUUGUAUCGGACUCAUCGUCCGAUCACUCCAACACACACUCCUCCCAUGAAAACGAGGAGGAGGAGGAAAGUUCUCCCCCCUCCCAGCCGGGGGACAAGAAAAGGAAGGCCGACCCAACCGGGGAGGCCGAAGGGUCCAAGAAGGGAAGGACCCUCCCUCUGGACUGCUCCACGACGGCCGCCUACAGCGGCGACGAGUGGCUACCCAGGGUCAAGCCCCUGGCAAAGUCGUAA
This 318-nucleotide ribosomal RNA is filed under the name Triticum aestivum (bread wheat). Its description in RNAcentral is "partial small subunit ribosomal RNA". The record is from RNAcentral. Lineage: Eukaryota; Viridiplantae; Streptophyta; Magnoliopsida; Poales; Poaceae.